Molecule: small RNA, 539 nt
Filed under: Histoplasma capsulatum
Lineage: Eukaryota; Fungi; Ascomycota; Eurotiomycetes; Onygenales; Ajellomycetaceae
Also listed under: 1 other name
Description: hypothetical RNA
Source: RNAcentral
AGUUCUCCCAUGUUAUUGAGGGUGUCGAAGUCCAUAUACCUUGUGCGAAACCAUUGUGGAGAUAUCGUUCUGGAUGCAUGAGAGGAAGCUGCUGACGCCACUGAGAGCGUAGAGAUGCUACUAACUGACCAGUCCUAACCCACUUCUUGUUCGCUGUCACUUUCAUCUAGGAAAUUAGCCUCUUUUAGAAGUUCCAACCAUCCCGUCCCGCCAUUGACGAAUCGGCAAUCAUUCAUUUAGUCUAAGUGAAACGGUUACUUUCAUUAGCAAGUGCCGCCCGGCAAGAAUGGAUUUGACGUGUGAUUCUAUUUUCAGCCACGUGUUCAACGGCACGGAUCUGCAGGUGAACAAGUCUGUGUUGAGACUGGCAAUAUGGAUGGAACGGAUUUAUUUAUUAGAGGUUGGCAUUAGGGCCGAGAUGUGAGGAUGAACACCGAGCUGGUUGUUGGGACCGAUGGAAGGGAAAUAAGGUGGAGCCACGAGCUGGGUGGUGAGAUAGUCAUGGUGUGAGGAAAAUAGAGGGAGGCAUUAUGUUGGAG